Non-coding RNA from Pelobates cultripes (western spadefoot toad), 318 nucleotides. The record is from the annotation of a GenBank genome assembly. NCBI's taxonomy places the organism in Eukaryota, Metazoa, Chordata, Amphibia, Anura, Pelobatidae.
CCUUCAAUCACAUUUACACUCAUAUGUGACAAUGUGCAAUGGUAUUGUCCGGUCGGGGAGUGUGCAGGUGCAAAAACAAACACACAUAGAUCAAACACGCAUUGCCACAGGAUAGGUGAUUGAUAACUAGUCGGCAUCACAAGCUAGCCAGCGAUAUUUUUCUACUAAUACAAAUCACUGCAAGUACUUUGGGAGCAUUGUAAAACCAUCUGGCAGCCGAGUUACUGCAAGUGCCUUGAAAUGGUUAAUUCUGUUUUUGUUUGUGAACUGAUUUAGUAAUUGUAUCGCUUCCUCUGAAAGUCCCCUGGCAAUAAUAAU